AGUCGAACGAUGAAGCCCUUCGGGGUGGAUUAGUGGCGAACGGGUGAGUAACACGUGGGCAAUCUGCCCUUCACUCUGGGACAAGCCCUGGAAACGGGGUCUAAUACCGGAUAACACUCCUCAGGGCAUCUUGAGGGGUUAAAAGCUCCGGCGGUGAAGGAUGAGCCCGCGGCCUAUCAGCUUGUUGGUGGGGUGAUGGCCUACCAAGGCGACGACGGGUAGCCGGCCUGAGAGGGCGACCGGCCACACUGGGACUGAGACACGGCCCAGACUCCUACGGGAGGCAGCAGUGGGGAAUAUUGCACAAUGGGCGAAAGCCUGAUGCAGCGACGCCGCGUGAGGGAUGACGGCCUUCGGGUUGUAAACCUCUUUCAGCAGGGAAGAAGCGAAAGUGACGGUACCUGCAGAAGAAGCGCCGGCUAACUACGUGCCAGCAGCCGCGGUAAUACGUAGGGCGCAAGCGUUGUCCGGAAUUAUUGUGCGUAAAGAGCUCGUAGGCGGCUUGUCACGUCGGAUGUGAAAGCCCGGGGCUUAACCUCGGGUCUGCAUUCGAUACGGGCUAGCUAGAG
Molecule: ribosomal RNA, 569 nt
Filed under: bacterium 09-L049640-122-012-A02
Lineage: Bacteria
Description: bacterial SSU rRNA
Rfam family: Bacterial small subunit ribosomal RNA
Source: RNAcentral